GACGAACGCUGGCGGUAUGCUUAACACAUGCAAGUCGAACGCGACGGUUUCGACGGAGCCCUUCGGGGUGACGAUGGAACUAGAAAGUGGCGAACGGGUGAGUAACGCGUGGGUAACCUACCCUAUGGAGAGGGAUAGCCCCUGGAAACGGGGAGUAACACCUCAUAUUAUUGAGGAUUCGCAUGAGUUCUUAAUGAAAACUCCGGUACCAUAGGAUGGACCCGCGUCCCAUUAGCUAGUUGGUGAGAUAACAGCUCACCAAGGCGACGAUGGGUAGCCGGUCUGAGAGGGCGAACGGCCACACUGGAACUGAGACACGGUCCAGACUCCUACGGGAGGCAGCAGUGGGGAAUAUUGCGCAAUGGGGGCAACCCUGACGCAGCAAUACCGCGUGAGUGAAGAAGGUUUUCGGAUCGUAAAGCUCUGUUAUGGGGGAAGAAUUUUGACGGUACCCCAUGAGGAAGUCCCGGCUAACUACGUGCCAGCCGCCGCAGUAAAAC
RNAcentral lists this ribosomal RNA (500 nucleotides) under uncultured bacterium. RNAcentral describes it as "bacterial SSU rRNA". It matches the Rfam family "Bacterial small subunit ribosomal RNA", at positions 28 to 526 of the family's 1533-position model. The record is from RNAcentral.